GUUAAAGUUCUUUUUUCAUGGUAUAACUUUGGUAUGCUUGGACCUAGAGUCUUCAAACUUGACAUGAAGGUUGGCCAGGAUUAACAGAUGACCACUGGUCAUUUCAAGGUCAUUCAUUUGAAGGUCAAGGUCACUGUGACCUUCAAUAUAAAAAAUGUUAAAGUUGUUAUAACUUUGGUAUGCUUGGACCUAGAGUCUUGAAACUUGACAUGAAGGUUGGCCAUAACUAGUUAGUAACCACUGGUCAUUUCAAGGUCAUUCAUUUGAAGGUCAAGGUCACUGUGACCUUGAAUGUAAAAAUGUUAAAGUUCUUAUUUCAUGGUAUAACUUUGGUAUGCUUGGACCUAGAGUCUUCAAACUUGACAUGAAGGUUGGCCAGGAUUAACAGAUGACCACUGGUCAUUUCAAGGUCAUUCAUUUGAAGGUGAAGGUCACUGUGACCUUCAAUAUAAAAAUGUUAAAGUUGUUAUAACUUUGGUAUGCUUGGACCUAGAGUCUUGAAACUUGACAUGAAGGUUGGCCAGAACUAGUAAGUAACCACUGGACAUUUCAAGGUCAUUCAUUUGAAGGUCAAGGUCACUGUGACCUUAAAUGUUAAAAUGUUAAAAUUGUUAUAACUUUGGUAUGCUUGGACAUAGAGUCUUCAAACUUGACAUGAAGGUUUGCAAGCACACUUAGAUGACCACUGGUCAUUUCAAGGUCAUUCAUUCUAAGGUCAAGGUCACUGUGACCUUGAAUGUAAAAAUGUUAAAGUUCUUAUAACUUUGGUAGGUAAAAAUGUUAAAGUUCUUAUUCUUAUUUUUUUGUGUGUAGGUAUGUGAAAGCAAAACAAUAAAUAGUAUUAUUUCA
Dreissena polymorpha is the source of this 849-nucleotide long non-coding RNA. RefSeq lists it as uncharacterized. NCBI's taxonomy places the organism in Eukaryota, Metazoa, Mollusca, Bivalvia, Myida, Dreissenidae. The record is from RefSeq and is a predicted model, not a curated record. The transcript is spliced from 2 exons.